Molecule: ribosomal RNA, 464 nt
Filed under: uncultured bacterium
Lineage: Bacteria
Description: partial 16S ribosomal RNA
Rfam family: Bacterial small subunit ribosomal RNA
Source: RNAcentral
CUACGGGGGGCACCAGUGAGGAAUUUUGCGCAAUGGGGGAAACCCUGACGCAGCAACGCCGCGUGAGUGAAGAAGGCUUUCGGGUCGUAAAGCUCUGUCAAGUGGGAAAAAAAGUUCUCGAUUAAUAGUCGGGAGACCUGAUGGUACCACUGGAGGAAGCACCGGCUAACUCCGUGCCAGCAGCCGCGGUAAUACGGAGGGUGCAAGCGUUGUUCGGAAUUACUGGGCGUAAAGAGCGUGUAGGCGGUUUGGCAAGUCAGAUGUGAAAGCCCUGGGCUCAACCCAGGAAGUGCAUUUGAAACUGCCAUCCUUGAGUAUGGGAGAGGAGAGUGGAAUUCCCAAUGUAGAGGUGAAAUUCGUAGAUAUUGGGAGGAACACCCGUGGCGAAGGCGACUCUCUGGACCAAUACUGACGCUGAGACGCGAAAGCGUGGGGAGCAAACAGGAUUAGAUACCCGCGUAGUC